UGCCAGCAGCCGCGGUAAUACGUAGGGGGCGAGCGUUAUCCGGAUUCAUUGGGCGUAAAGCGCGCGUAGGCGGCCUGCUAGGUCGGGAGUCAAAUCCGGGGGCUCAACCCCCGUCCGCUCCCGAUACCGGCUGGCUUGAGUCUGGUAGGGGAAGGUGGAAUUCCCAGUGUAGCGGUGGAAUGCGCAGAUAUUGGGAAGAACACCGGUGGCGAAGGCGGCCUUCUGGGCCACGACUGACGCUGAGGCGCGAAAGCUAGGGGAGCUAACAGGAUUAGAUA
This 278-nucleotide ribosomal RNA is filed under the name uncultured bacterium. RNAcentral's name for it is "partial 16S ribosomal RNA". It matches the Rfam family "Bacterial small subunit ribosomal RNA", at positions 506 to 784 of the family's 1533-position model. The record is from RNAcentral.